RNAcentral lists this ribosomal RNA (366 nucleotides) under uncultured bacterium. RNAcentral describes it as "partial 16S ribosomal RNA". It matches the Rfam family "Bacterial small subunit ribosomal RNA", at positions 338 to 721 of the family's 1533-position model. The record is from RNAcentral.
CCUACGGGAGGCUGCAGUGGGGAAUAUUGCACAAUGGGGGAAACCCUGAUGCAGCGACGCCGCGUGAAGGACGAAGUAUUUCGGUACGUAAACUUCUAUCAGCAGGGAAGAAAAUGACGGUACCUGACCAAGAGGCCCCGUCUAACUACGUGCCAGCAGCCGCGGUAAUACGUAGGGGGCAAGCGUUAUCCGGAUUUACUGGGGGUAAAGGGAGCGUAGGCGGCAGGGCAAGCCUGAUGUGAAAGCCCGGGGCUCAACCCCGGGACCGCAUUGGGAACUGCCCCGCUCGAGUGCCGGAGGGGCAGGCGGAAUUGCUAGUGUAGCGGUGAAAUGCGUAGAUAUUAGGAGGAACACCAGUGGCGAAGG